AUACAGUUUUCUCGCUGCCGCAAAAUCGGCAGCCGGGCGUAGGAACCCGAGUA
Molecule: non-coding RNA, 53 nt
Organism: Cronobacter sakazakii ATCC BAA-894
Lineage: Bacteria; Pseudomonadati; Pseudomonadota; Gammaproteobacteria; Enterobacterales; Enterobacteriaceae
Source: Rfam